AUCAGCUCUUUGUUUAGCCUGUUCGAAUAUAAUUGGAGUUUAGGUUGACGUCCCAUCUCACUGAACUAAUACACAUUUUUGUUUAGGGGCCAGCUGAAGCCCGCCUCCGGAUGCGAAAGAUUCUCGCUGUGUUGAAGACCCGUUAGUGGACUUCGGCUGUUUUCUGUACUUUGGUCGUGUUGUUGUCUCUUUGACGCAUUCCCCAUUUCCAUUCUCAAUUUUAUUAUGACAUUGUGAAGACAUUGUAAGAUAACGUUACAGACUUACGACUACGUGAUAGGAAAAGUCGUGUACCAUUUGUGAUUGCUAGA
Molecule: long non-coding RNA, 311 nt
Filed under: Mytilus galloprovincialis (Mediterranean mussel)
Lineage: Eukaryota; Metazoa; Mollusca; Bivalvia; Mytilida; Mytilidae
Source: RNAcentral